UACAAAACCCUUUGCUGGCUCAGAAAAGUCUUUUUCGCCACAAAAUUAAUUAGAUUUUUAGUUACAAAACCAUAGCAUAUAUUUUGAGAUAUCGGCCCUUGCGAUUUAGCAGCCUGUCUGCCACCGCUGGUGCCUUUCCCAAGAGGUGUUUGCCGCAGCCAUAAUUUAUGAGCCUUCUUGACAAAAGUCAAAAGAGAAGACUUAAAUCAUCAACUCAAAUAAACCAAAUAAAUCUCGAGGUUAAGAAACCGGGAAAUUCUUCAUCAAAAUUUAAAAUUGUUAAAAUAUACUACUCACCGUGCCGAGCAUGAAGGUUGACUCUUGGUAUGCUCCGCAGUAUCCGAGGCAGCUGAGCACAAACACAAAGCCGCCUGCAGCGAUCAAAAUCCAAGACGCCUGCUCAAUCACGGUAGGCUGCGAGAAUUGCUGGAA
Molecule: long non-coding RNA, 432 nt
Organism: Neocloeon triangulifer
Lineage: Eukaryota; Metazoa; Arthropoda; Insecta; Ephemeroptera; Baetidae
Exons: 3
Source: RefSeq, a predicted model, not a curated record